AGGGGCAUCAGGAAGAAAGCUUGCUUUCUUUGCUGGCGACCGGCGCACGGGUGAGUAACACGUAUCCAACCUGCCCUUUACUCGGGGAUAGCCUUUCGAAAGAAAGAUUAAUACCCGAUAGCAUAAUGAUUCCGCAUGGUUUCAUUAUUAAAGGAUUCCGGUAAAGGAUGGGGAUGCGUUCCAUUAGGUUGUUGGUGAGGUAACGGCUCACCAAGCCUUCGAUGGAUAGGGGUUCUGAGAGGAAGGUCCCCCACAUUGGAACUGAGACACGGUCCAAACUCCUACGGGAGGCAGCAGUGAGGAAUAUUGGUCAAUGGGCGUUAGCCUGAACCAGCCAAGUAGCGUGAAGGAUGAAGGCUCUAUGGGUCGUAAACUUCUUUUAUAUAAGAAUAAAGUGCAGUAUGUAUACUGUUUUGUAUGUAUUAUAUGAAUAAGGAUCGGCUAACUCCGUGCCAGCAGCCGCGGUAAUACGGAGGAUCCGAGCGUUAUCCGGAUUUAUUGGGUUUAAAGGGAGCGUAGGUGGACUGG
Molecule: ribosomal RNA, 528 nt
Filed under: uncultured Bacteroides sp.
Lineage: Bacteria; Pseudomonadati; Bacteroidota; Bacteroidia; Bacteroidales; Bacteroidaceae
Description: bacterial SSU rRNA
Rfam family: Bacterial small subunit ribosomal RNA
Source: RNAcentral